Procambarus clarkii (red swamp crayfish) is the source of this 502-nucleotide long non-coding RNA. RefSeq lists it as uncharacterized. The record is from RefSeq and is a predicted model, not a curated record. Lineage: Eukaryota; Metazoa; Arthropoda; Malacostraca; Decapoda; Cambaridae.
UCCAGAGUGGAGUAGAGAACGAAUCAGACUUUACUACCAGAACAUACAAAUUGGUGUGUAAUGCGUUGCUGUUCAAGUGGAGAAUUAACUCCAAGGGAUUCAUAUUCAUCCCAAAUAUGGAGAUCAUCAAUAAUCUAAGUUUGUAUAUUGUUACUUACGUAAGUAAUGAGACCCUCUUUUUCCUUCACCAUGGGGUAGGAAGAACCGUCAUCACAUACCUGUCUCUCCUGCAGCACAGUGAAAUCGGUUGGCUUUUCUCAGACGUAUUGCAACAUAACACUGACUCUAAUAUGGAUUCCAUUACAAUUUCAUUGAAAUAGUGAAGACUGAUCGUUAGUGACCCCGUUUAAUGGUUUGCACAACGUUAAGGCAGCCAUUACAAGUGAGGGAAGGAGGCGGAGGUGUUUGACUUUAGUGGUCCCAUUACCCCACACACAAGCAAGUCUGACAACAGCAUGGUUAUCAUUCCAGCAAACAUGGAAAAUAAACAAUUAAUAAAAGA